RNAcentral lists this ribosomal RNA (501 nucleotides) under uncultured bacterium. RNAcentral describes it as "partial 16S ribosomal RNA". It matches the Rfam family "Bacterial small subunit ribosomal RNA", at positions 29 to 523 of the family's 1533-position model. The record is from RNAcentral.
AUUGAACGCUGGCGGCAUGCCUUACACAUGCAAGUCGAACGGCAGCACGGGAGCAAUCCUGGUGGCGAGUGGCGAACGGGUGAGUAAUGUAUCGGAACGUGCCCAGUCGUGGGGGAUAACGUAGCGAAAGCUACGCUAAUACCGCAUACGAUCUAUGGAUGAAAGCGGGGGAUCGCAAGACCUCGCGCGAUUGGAGCGGCCGAUAUCACGAUUAGGUAGGUGGUGGGGUAAAGGCUCACAAAGCCGACGAUCUGUAGCCGGUCUGAGAGGGCGACAAGCCAGACUGGGACUGACACACGGCCCAGACCCCUACGGGAGGCAGCAGUGGGGAAUUUUGGACAAUGGGGGAAAGCCUGGUCCAGCAAUGCCGCGUGCAGGAUGAAGGCCUUCGGGUUGUAAACUGCUUUUGUACGGAACGAAACGGCGAACUCUAAUACAGUUUGCUAAUGACGGUACCGUAAGAAUAAGCACCGGCUAACUACGUGCCAGCCGCCGCCGUAA